UUCGAGUGGCAGACGGGUGAGUAACGCGUGGGUAACCUGCCUUACACAGGGGGAUAACACCUGGAAACAGGUGCUAAUACCGCAUAAGCGCACAGGGCCGCAUGGCCCGGUGUGAAAAACUCCGGUGGUGUAAGAUGGACCCGCGUCUGAUUAGCUUGUUGGCGGGGUAGAGGCCCACCAAGGCGACGAUCAGUAGCCGGCCUGAGAGGGUGGACGGCCACAUUGGGACUGAGACACGGCCCAAACUCCUACGGGAGGCAGCAG
Molecule: ribosomal RNA, 264 nt
Filed under: uncultured bacterium
Lineage: Bacteria
Description: partial 16S ribosomal RNA
Rfam family: Bacterial small subunit ribosomal RNA
Source: RNAcentral